This 299-nucleotide ribosomal RNA is filed under the name Stegastes rectifraenum (Cortez damselfish). RNAcentral's name for it is "partial 12S ribosomal RNA". It matches the Rfam family "Bacterial small subunit ribosomal RNA", at positions 1151 to 1533 of the family's 1533-position model. The record is from RNAcentral. Lineage: Eukaryota; Metazoa; Chordata; Actinopteri; Pomacentridae.
AGUUUUGCAAAAUUGGCAUAGCCCAAAACGCCAGGUCGAGGUGUAGCGAAUGAGAGGGGAAGAGAUGGGCUACAUUUCCUGAACCAGGACAUACGAACGUAUUACUGAAAACCGUAUCUGAAGGAGGAUUUAGCAGUAAGUAGAAACCAGAAUGUUCUACUGAAAUUGGCCCUGAAGCGCGCACACACCGCCCGUCACUCUCUCCAAAUCACAUUAAAAUAUUUUUUAAUAAUUACACAAAUUAAAGGUGAGGCAAGUCGUAACAUGGUAAGUGUACCGGAAGGUGUACUUGGAAAAUA